Molecule: microRNA precursor, 65 nt
Filed under: Medicago truncatula (barrel medic)
Lineage: Eukaryota; Viridiplantae; Streptophyta; Magnoliopsida; Fabales; Fabaceae
Description: MIR2629 microRNA precursor family
Rfam family: MIR2629 microRNA precursor family
Source: Rfam by way of RNAcentral
AGUUUUUUUUUUCCUCGGUAGUUUACUGCCGAAGUUUUCCUCGGCAGUUAACUGCCGAAGGGUAU